This 440-nucleotide ribosomal RNA is filed under the name uncultured bacterium. RNAcentral describes it as "partial 16S ribosomal RNA". It matches the Rfam family "Bacterial small subunit ribosomal RNA", at positions 338 to 795 of the family's 1533-position model. The record is from RNAcentral.
CCUACGGGCGGCAGCAGUAGGGAAUAUUGCUCAAUGGGGGAAACCCUGAAGCAGCAACGCCGCGUGGAGGAUGAAGGUUUUCGGAUUGUAAACUCCUUUUGUUAGAGAAGAUAAUGACGGUAUCUAACGAAUAAGCACCGGCUAACUCCGUGCCAGCAGCCGCGGUAAUACGGAGGGUGCAAGCGUUACUCGGAAUCACUGGGCGUAAAGGGCGCGUAGGCGGGAUAGCAAGUCAGAUGUGAAAUCCUAUGGCUUAACCAUAGAACUGCAUUUGAAACUGUUAUUCUAGAGUAUGGGAGAGGUAGGUGGAAUUCGUGGUGUAGGGGUAAAAUCCGUAGAGAUCAAGAGGAAUACUCAUUGCGAAGGCGACCUGCUAGAACAUAACUGACGCUGAUGCGCGAAAGCGUGGGGAGCAAACAGGAUUAGAUACCCCAGUAGUC